Molecule: ribosomal RNA, 560 nt
Filed under: uncultured bacterium
Lineage: Bacteria
Description: bacterial SSU rRNA
Rfam family: Bacterial small subunit ribosomal RNA
Source: RNAcentral
CCUACGGGAGGCAGCAGUGGGGAAUAUUGGACAAUGGGCGAAAGCCUGAUCCAGCAAUGCCGCGUGAGUGAUGAAGGCCUUCGGGUCGUAAAGCUCUUUUACCAGGGAUGAUAAUGACAGUACCUGGAGAAUAAGCUCCGGCUAACUCCGUGCCAGCAGCCGCGGUAAUACGGAGGGAGCUAGCGUUGUCCGGAAUUACUGGGCGUAAAGAGUACGUAGGCGGUUAUUCAAGUCAGAGGUGAAAGCCCGGGGCUCAACCCCGGAACUGCCUUUGAAACUAGAUAACUAGAGUCUUGGAGAGGUUAGUGGAAUUCCGAGUGUAGAGGUGAAAUUCGUAGAUAUUCGGAAGAACACCAGUGGCGAAGGCGACUAACUGGACAAGUACUGACGCUGAGGUACGAAAGCGUGGGGAGCAAACAGGAUUAGAUACCCUGGUAGUCCACGCCGUAAACGAUGAUAACUAGUUGUUCGGUCACUUGGUGACUGAGUGACGCAGCUAACGCAUUAAGUUAUCCGCCUGGGGAGUACGGUGCAAGAUUAAAACUCAAAGGAAUUGACGG